GAGAGCUUGUUCUAUUGAUUCAGUGGCAAACGGGUGAGUAACGCGUAAGCACCUGCCCUCUAGAUGGGGACAACAGCUGGAAACGGCUGCUAAUACCGAAUACGGUCGCAUGGCAAAGAGUUUAGCUUUCGCUGGAGGAGGGGCUUGCGUCUGAUUAGCUAGUUGGAGGGGUAACGGCCCACCAAGGCGACGAUCAGUAGCCGGACUGAGAGGUUGAUCGGCCACAUUGGGACUGAGACACGGCCCAGACUCCUACGGGAGGCAGCAGUGGGGAAUAUUGCACAAUGGGGGAAACCCUGAUGCAGCGAUGCCGCGUGGAGGAAGAAGGUUUUCGGAUUGUAAACUCCUGUUGAAGAGGACGAUAAUGACGGUACUCUUUUAGAAAGCUCCGGCUAACUACGUGCCAGCAGCCGCGGUAAUACGUAGGGAGCGAGCGUUGUCCGGAAUUACUGGGUGUAAAGGGAGCGUAGGCGGGAUGGCAAGUCAGAUGUGAAAACUAUGGGCUCAACCCAUAGACUGCAUUUGAAACUGUUGUUCUUGAGUGAGGUAGAGGUAAGCGGAAUUCCUGGUGUAGCGGUGAAAUGCGUAGAGAUCAGGAGGAACAUCGGUGGCGAAGGCGGCUUACUGGGCCUUUACUGACGCUGAGGCUCGAAAGCGUGAGGAGCAAACAGGAUUAGAUACCCUGGUAGUCCACGCCGUANACGAUGAUUACUAG
RNAcentral lists this ribosomal RNA (715 nucleotides) under uncultured bacterium. RNAcentral's name for it is "bacterial SSU rRNA". It matches the Rfam family "Bacterial small subunit ribosomal RNA", at positions 74 to 819 of the family's 1533-position model. The record is from RNAcentral.